This 403-nucleotide ribosomal RNA is filed under the name Papilio castor kanlanpanus. RNAcentral describes it as "partial 16S ribosomal RNA". Lineage: Eukaryota; Metazoa; Arthropoda; Insecta; Lepidoptera; Papilionidae. The record is from RNAcentral.
GGGCUGCAGUAUUUUGACUGUACAAAGGUAGCAUAAUCAAUAGUCUUUUAAUUGGUGACUUGUAUGAAAGAUUGGAUGAAAUAUAUACUGUCUCUAAAUAAUUUUUAGAAAUUAAUUUUUUAGUUAAAAAGCUAAAAUAAUUUUAAAAGACGAGAAGACCCUAUAGAGUUUAAUAAUUUAUUUUAUUGUUAUUAUUAUAUAAUUUUUAAAAUUAAAAUUAARUAAAUUAUUUUGUUGGGGUGAUAAAAAAAUUAAAUUAACUUUUUUUAGUUUUUUACAUUGAUUUAUGAUUAUAUGAUCCAUUAAUAGUGAUAAAAAGAAAAAAUUACCUUAGGGAUAACAGCGUAAUUUUUUUUUUUAGUUCAAAUAGGAAAAAAAGUUUGCGACCUCGAUGUUGGAUUAA